This is a non-coding RNA of Tupaia belangeri chinensis (Chinese tree shrew), 726 nucleotides long. Lineage: Eukaryota; Metazoa; Chordata; Mammalia; Scandentia; Tupaiidae. The record is from the annotation of a RefSeq genome assembly.
CCCAGGGUCACCACAAGCCAGGCUCUUCUACCCACGAGGGAGCUCAUCUCCUCCCUCUCUGCUUAGCUGGGCUGAGUAUUCAGGUCAGGGAAGCCCAGAACAUGCAACGAGCCCACUCUUAUUCAAAACCGGUGACUCUACCCCACGAAGAGUUAGGGAGAUAAAAAGAGGCUUAGGGUAGCUCAUGGGGGAGCUCAUCUCUUCAAGCUCAGGGAGCAGAGAGGAGGCGGCACCAUGACCUGGGCUCCUCUCCUCCUCACCUUCCUCACUCAGUACACAGGGACUGUGGCCCAGGCAAGGCUGACUCAGGUGCCCUCGGUGUCCCAGAUCUUGGGACACACGGUCACCCUCACCUGCACUGGGAACAGCAACAAUGUUGGUUACGAGGGAGCAGCCUGGCUGCAGCAGCACCCGGGUCUUGUCCCCAAACUCCUGACCCACAGGAAUAACAACCGAGCCCUGGGGGUCUCAGAGAGGUUCUCUGGCUCCAGGUCAGGGGACAUAGCCUCCCUGACCAUCUCUGACCUCCAGCCUGAGGAUGAGGCUGAUUACUACUGUACUGCCUGGGACAGGAGCGUAGGCGCACACAGUGCUCCAGACCAGAGGGGAAAAAGACUUCAUAGUGAGGACCCAGAAUGCAAUUCUGCUCUAGGAGAGUCUGGCUGGGGAGGAGACCCAGCUGUGGGGGAGCUCCUCAUGGUGGGGCUUCUGGAGACGGAGCUUUGA